Molecule: ribosomal RNA, 435 nt
Filed under: uncultured bacterium
Lineage: Bacteria
Description: bacterial SSU rRNA
Rfam family: Bacterial small subunit ribosomal RNA
Source: RNAcentral
GACGAACGCUGGCGGCGCGCCUAACACAUGCAAGUCGAACGAGCGAGAGAGAGCUUGCUUUCUCGAGCGAGUGGCGAACGGGUGAGUAACGCGUGAGGAACCUGCCUCAAAGAGGGGGACAACAGUUGGAAACGACUGCUAAUACCGCAUAAGCCCACGACCCGGCAUCGGGUAGAGGGAAAAGGAGCAAUCCGCUUUGAGAUGGCCUCGCGUCCGAUUAGCUAGUUGGUGAGGUAACGGCCCACCAAGGCGACGAUCGGUAGCCGGACUGAGAGGUUGAACGGCCACAUUGGGACUGAGACACGGCCCAGACUCCUACGGGAGGCAGCAGUGGGGAAUAUUGCACAGUGGGGGAAACCCUGAUGCAGCGACGCCGCGUGGAGGAAGAAGGUCUUCGGAUUGUAAACUCCUGUUGUUGAGGAAGAUAAUGACGGU